Molecule: small nucleolar RNA, 75 nt
Filed under: Procavia capensis (Cape rock hyrax)
Lineage: Eukaryota; Metazoa; Chordata; Mammalia; Hyracoidea; Procaviidae
Description: Small nucleolar RNA SNORD113/SNORD114 family (ENSPCAG00000020146.1)
Rfam family: Small nucleolar RNA SNORD113/SNORD114 family
About the family: The imprinted human domain at 14q32 contains two clusters of tandemly repeated small nucleolar RNAs named 14q(I) and 14q(II) snoRNAs. These two clusters are named SNORD113 and SNORD114 respectively in the HGNC approved gene symbol nomenclature.
Source: RNAcentral
UGGGCCAGUGAUGAGCACUAGUGGCAUCUGAGUCUUGAAAGAUGAGUAGUAUAUAUCUGGAACUCUGAUGUCCAA